CCGUGGUGGCGACGGAUACCUCCUUCUUGGCCACCUGCGUCAUGAAUGUGGCGGACGGAAGUGAAAUAAACGUGAAGAGAAGGAGAGACAAAAUGGCUUCCUGAGUGUGAUGGUUCGAAUAAGCUUGGCCGAUGGAAAAUGGCACUAUUAGGAGGUGUGGUCUUGUUGGAGUGGGUGUGGCCUUGUUACAGGAAGUAUGUCAUUGUGGGGGUGGGCUUUGAGGUCUCCUAGUGGUCAAGCUCCAUCCAGCUCUGAAGAGAGUCUCCUCAUGGCCACCUUCAGAAGAUAGUCCUCUUCUAGCUGCCUUUGGAUCAAGACGUAGAACUUCCAGCUUCUCCUGCAUCAUGUUUACCUGCAUGCUGCCUUGCUUCCUGCCCAUGAUGACAGUGGACCAAACCUUUCGAACUGUAGUCCAGCCACAAUUAAACGUAUGCCUUUAUAA
Long non-coding RNA from Mus musculus (house mouse), 442 nucleotides. RefSeq annotates it as predicted gene, 46420. NCBI's taxonomy places the organism in Eukaryota, Metazoa, Chordata, Mammalia, Rodentia, Muridae. The record is from RefSeq and is a predicted model, not a curated record. The transcript has 2 exons.